Molecule: ribosomal RNA, 253 nt
Filed under: uncultured bacterium
Lineage: Bacteria
Description: partial 16S ribosomal RNA
Rfam family: Bacterial small subunit ribosomal RNA
Source: RNAcentral
UACGGGGGGGGCAAGCGUUGUUCGGAAUUACUGGGCGUAAAGGGCGCGUAGGCGGCGGGGUAAGUCGGGUGUGAAAUCUCAGAGCUCAACUCUGAAAUGGCACUUGAUACUGCUCUGCUAGAGGACUGGAGAGGAGAUUGGAAUUCACGGUGUAGCAGUGAAAUGCGUAGAUAUCGUGAGGAAGACCGGUGGCGAAGGCGGAUCUCUGGACAGUUCCUGACGCUGAGGCGCGAAGGCCAGGGGAGCAAACGGG